AGGCUGAGUAUCGUGGGAUCAUACAGUACUUGACAGUGUCCCAACCUGAAGGCAGUAAUGGGCUAAUCUGUAAGGAUAGUGAUGGCAGAAAUUGAUAAGAAGCAAAUUGGCCUUGAGUUAACUCUGAUUGCUUGGUCUCUUGGUAAUUUGGCAUCACCUGCAUUGUAGCUAUGGGGAAAAGUCUAGUUCUUUUCAGCUUUAAUCCUUGUCUUGGAUAUUGUAGGACAUUGGAUUUCUAUUGUCACAUUCUCUUACAUUUAUAUAGACUUUUUCUGCAAUUGUUUAUUAGAGAGUCUGAGUGACAUUAGAGAAAUAAGAUCUGUGAUAUGUGUGGAGAUGCUUUCUGGUCCUCCCUCAACCUUGUACUGGCCCUCACCAGAAACGGGUAUCCCUUCCCUUCCCUUCCCUUCCCUUCCCUUCCCUUCCCUUCCCUUCCCUUCCCUUCCCUUCCCUUCCCUUCCCUUUCUUUUCUCACCUCCCCACCCCCCAACAUGGUUUUUCUGUAUAUCCCUGGUUGUCCUAGAACUUGCUCUGCAGACCAGCCUGGCCUCAAACUCCCACAGAUCUUCCUGCCUCUGCCUUCCCUGUGUUGGGAUCAAAGGUGUGUACCACCACCACUGGGCUUCAAGUUUCUUUUCUAAUAACGUUCUCUUCCCUUGAAUGAAGAACCUGCCUGAUGGUACUUAAGCCCUGCAUCUGGAGGCCUUUGACCUGGCUUUUAGUUCUCAGCAACAGUUUUCCAAGGGAUAAGACAGAGAGUAAGGUUUUUUAAAAUGCAUGAUUAUCUUGACAUCUUUCUGAGACCUUUCCUUAGGGUUUCCUUGGGGAUGAUUUGGUGAGUAGUCGCGUCCAGGCUGACUGCAGAAGGGAUGGUGGUUAGACACCAUCUCCAGCCACAGGAGACUCUACCAGCCAGCUUCAUGAUUAGACCUGUGGUGUGCCUGGCAGGGAAAGGCCAGGCUAAAGGUUACAGACUGGAGCCAUUCAGGCCUGGACUCCCUGAGGGAAGGAGUCUGAGCAGGAGGCCAUCAGACUCUACCCCUUGCCGCUUCUCCUUAAUAGAGGUAUGGUGCUGAAAAGCCUUCAGAGCAAUUGCUAAGUGUUCUUACAAUCCUGGGAGCUGCAGAGUGGGUGUUCAGACC
Molecule: long non-coding RNA, 1142 nt
Filed under: Mus musculus (house mouse)
Lineage: Eukaryota; Metazoa; Chordata; Mammalia; Rodentia; Muridae
Description: long non-coding RNA chr9:50818634-50819776
Source: RNAcentral